AACGAACGCUGGCGGCAUGCCUAACACAUGCAAGUCGAACGAGACCUUCGGGUCUAGUGGCGCACGGGUGCGUAACGCGUGGGAACCUGCCCUUAGGUUCGGAAUAACUCCCCGAAAGGGGUGCUAAUACCGGAUAAUGUCUUCGGACCAAAGAUUUAUCGCCUUUGGAUGGGCCCGCGUUGGAUUAGCUAGUUGGUAGGGUAAAAGCCUACCAAGGCGACGAUCCAUAGCUGGUCUGAGAGGAUGAUCAGCCACACUGGGACUGAGACACGGCCCAGACUCCUACGGGAGGCAGCAGUGGGGAAUAUUGGACUAUGGGCGAAAGCCUGAUCCAGCAAUGCCGCGUGAGUGAUGAAGGCCUUAGGGUUGUAAAGCUCUUUUACCCGGGAUGAUAAUGACAGUACCGGGAGAAUAAGCGCCGGCUAACUCCGUG
This 433-nucleotide ribosomal RNA is filed under the name uncultured bacterium. Its description in RNAcentral is "partial 16S ribosomal RNA". It matches the Rfam family "Bacterial small subunit ribosomal RNA", at positions 29 to 507 of the family's 1533-position model. The record is from RNAcentral.